AGGUUGUGGCCUUGAGCCGUGGCUUUCGGAGCUAACGCGUUAAGUAGACCGCCUGGGGAGUACGGUCGCAAGAUUAAAACUCAAAUGAAUUGACGGGGGCCCGCACAAGCGGUGGAGCAUGUGGUUUAAUUCGAUGCAACGCGAAGAACCUUACCUACUCUUGACAUCCAGAGAAGCCAGCGGAGACGCAGGUGUGCCUUCGGGAGCUCUGAGACAGGUGCUGCAUGGCUGUCGUCAGCUCGUGUCGUGAGAUGUUGGGU
Molecule: ribosomal RNA, 260 nt
Filed under: Vibrio splendidus
Lineage: Bacteria; Pseudomonadati; Pseudomonadota; Gammaproteobacteria; Vibrionales; Vibrionaceae
Description: partial 16S ribosomal RNA
Rfam family: Bacterial small subunit ribosomal RNA
Source: RNAcentral